CCCGUCUUCCUCUGGGCCCCAUCUUGUCAGGUUCCUUCCAGUUCCUUGAGUGCGCGGUGUUCCUCCCUGCUGUGUGGCCUCUGUACGUUCUGUUCCCCGCCAGGAACUCCUCCCCUUUCCCGGGCUCACUCCCAGGCGUCCCUGGCUCUCAGGGUCAAAGUUCUUUCCUGACCAUCCCACGUGAACCAGCCUCCCUCUGUUGCUCGCUCAGGUCCGCUCAGCACCUGCACAGCUCAAGCGUCUCACUAUAUAGCAAGGCUGGUCUUGAACUUUGAUCCUCCUGCCUCAGCCUCCCAAGUGCUGGGAUUACAGAAAUUGCUUUAAGGAGUGGCCUGCUGUCAUUUUUUACUGAGGAAGACAUAAAAACACUUUCUGGUGCUGGAGGCGGGAAAUCUGGUCUACAAGUAACUAGUUGUAUGAUCUAUUCUACA
This is a long non-coding RNA of Heterocephalus glaber (naked mole-rat), 431 nucleotides long. NCBI's taxonomy places the organism in Eukaryota, Metazoa, Chordata, Mammalia, Rodentia, Bathyergidae. The record is from Ensembl.